RNAcentral lists this ribosomal RNA (468 nucleotides) under uncultured bacterium. Its description in RNAcentral is "partial 16S ribosomal RNA". It matches the Rfam family "Bacterial small subunit ribosomal RNA", at positions 28 to 507 of the family's 1533-position model. The record is from RNAcentral.
GACGAACGCUGGCGGCGUGCUUAACACAUGCAAGUCGAACGGAAAGGCCCUGCUUUUGUGGGGUGCCCGAGUGGCGAACGGGGGAGUAACACGUGAGCAACCUGCCCUUGACUUUCGGAUAACUUCAGGAAACUGGGGCUAAUACCAUAUAGGAGCUCCUGCUGCAUGGAGGGGGGUGGAAAGUUUCGGCGGUCGGGGAUGGAUGGGCGGCUUAUCAGCUUGUUGGUGGGGUAGUGGCUGACCCAGUAUUUGACCGGUAGCCGGCCUGGGAGGGUGGCCGGGCACCUGGGUACUACGGUACGGCGCAGACGGCAACGGUGGGCAGCAGUGGGGAAUCUUGCACAGUGGGCGGAAGCCGGAUGCAGCAACGCCGCGUUCGGGAUGACGGCCUGCGGGGUGAAAACCGCUGUCGCCUAUGACGAAGCGGGAGUGACGGUAAUGGGUAAAGAAGCACCGGCUAACUACGUG